This 506-nucleotide ribosomal RNA is filed under the name uncultured bacterium. Its description in RNAcentral is "partial 16S ribosomal RNA". It matches the Rfam family "Bacterial small subunit ribosomal RNA", at positions 29 to 523 of the family's 1533-position model. The record is from RNAcentral.
AGUGAACGCUGGCGGUAGGCCUAACACAUGCAAGUCGAACGGCAGCACAGGAGAGCUUGCUCUCUGGGUGGCGAGUGGCGGACGGGUGAGGAAUACAUCGGAAUCUACUCUGUCGUGGGGGAUAACGUAGGGAAACUUACGCUAAUAACGCAUACGACCUACGGGUGAAAGCAGGGGAUCUUCGGACCUUGCGCGAUUGAAUGAGCCGAUGUGGGAUUAGCUAGUUGGCGGGGUAAAGGCCAACCAAGGCAACGAUCCGUAGCUGGUCUGAGAGGAUGAUCAGCCACACUGGAACUGAGACACGGUCCAGACUCCUACGGGAGGCAGCAGUGGGGAAUAUUGGACAAUGGGCGCAAGCCUGAUCCAGCCAUACCGCGUGGGUGAAGAAGGCCUUCGGGUUGUAAAGCCCUUUUGUUGGGAAAGAAAUCCAGCUGGCUAAUACCCGGUUGGGAUGACGGUACCCAAAGAAUAAGCACCGGCUAACUUCGUGCCAGCCGCCGCCGUAA